This 459-nucleotide ribosomal RNA is filed under the name uncultured bacterium. Its description in RNAcentral is "partial 16S ribosomal RNA". It matches the Rfam family "Bacterial small subunit ribosomal RNA", at positions 338 to 795 of the family's 1533-position model. The record is from RNAcentral.
CCUACGGGAGGCAGCAGUGAGGAAUAUUGGUCAAUGGGCGCGAGCCUGAACCAGCCAAGUCGCGUGAGGGAAGACGGUCCUAUGGAUUGUAAACCUCUUUUGUCGGGGAGCAAAAGACGCCACGCGUGGCGUUCCGAGAGUACCCGAAGUAAAAGCAUCGGCUAACCCCGGGCCGUCAGCCGCGGUAAUACGGAGGAUGCGAGCGUUAUCCGGAUCGAUUGGGUGUAAAGUGUGCGCAGGCGGAAGAUCAAGUCAGCGGUAAAAUUGAGAGGCUCAACCUCUUCGAGCCGUUGAAACUGGUUAUCUUGAGUGAGUGAGAGGUAAGCGGAAUGCGAGGUGUAGCGGUGAAAUGCAUAGAUAUCACGAAGAACACCGAUUGCGAAGGCAGCAUACCGGCGCUAAACUGACGCUCAUGCACGAAAGUGUGGGUAUCGAACAGGAUUAGAUACCCUAGUAGUC